Long non-coding RNA from Gossypium arboreum, 244 nucleotides. RefSeq lists it as uncharacterized. NCBI's taxonomy places the organism in Eukaryota, Viridiplantae, Streptophyta, Magnoliopsida, Malvales, Malvaceae. The record is from RefSeq and is a predicted model, not a curated record. The transcript is spliced from 3 exons.
GUAAUAAAAAUAAAAGAAAAGGAAUAAAAUAAAACCACCUUGUUCUUGUCGAAAUAAAAAGAAGAAGAAAAUAGAAAAGAAACAAGACAUUCGGCCUUCCUUGAUUCAAAAUUUAGAUCAAGAAACAAGGAGAUCAGAAGCGGAUAAGAGAACAGCGAAAUUAAUUGAAUAGCCGAGAAACUUAAUCCGUUGAUAAUCGAGCUCAAGAGAAAAAGGAGCUAAAUUCGGAAAGGGGGAAAGCAAA